GCCAGUGUGGCUCAGUGGUUGAGCACUGACCAAUAAACCAGGAGGUCAGGGUUCAAUUCCCUGUCAGGGCA
Myotis brandtii (Brandt's bat) is the source of this 71-nucleotide non-coding RNA. The record is from Rfam. NCBI's taxonomy places the organism in Eukaryota, Metazoa, Chordata, Mammalia, Chiroptera, Vespertilionidae.